RNAcentral lists this ribosomal RNA (253 nucleotides) under uncultured bacterium. RNAcentral describes it as "partial 16S ribosomal RNA". It matches the Rfam family "Bacterial small subunit ribosomal RNA", at positions 524 to 776 of the family's 1533-position model. The record is from RNAcentral.
GACAGAGGGUGCAAACGUUGUUCGGAAUUACUGGGCGUAAAGCGAGUGUAGGCGGUCUCGUAAGUCGGGUGUGAAAGCCCUGGGCUCAACCUGGGAAUGGCAGUGGAUACUGGAAGGCUGGAGUACGGUAGAGGAGGGUGGAAUUCCCGGUGUAGCGGUGAAAUGCGUAGAGAUCGGGAGGAACAUCAGUGGCGAAGGCGGCCCUCUGGACCAGUACUGACGCUGAGGCACGAAAGCGUGGGGAGCAAACAGG